GUCUAUGGCCAUGCUACCCUGAACAAGCCUGAUCCCGUCUGAUCUUGGAAGCUAAGCAGGGUCGAGCCUGGUUAAUACUUGGAUAAGAGACCACCUAGGAAGACCAGGUGCUGUAGGAG
Non-coding RNA from Pteropus alecto (black flying fox), 119 nucleotides. The record is from Rfam. NCBI's taxonomy places the organism in Eukaryota, Metazoa, Chordata, Mammalia, Chiroptera, Pteropodidae.